CGCUGAACUUAAGCAUAUCAAUAAGCGGAGGAAAAGAAACCAACAGGGAUUGCCCUAGUAACGGCGAGUGAAGCGGCAACAGCUCAAAUUUGAAAUCUGGCACUUGUGCCCGAGUUGUAAUUUGUAGAGGAUGCUUUUGGCGACGCGCCUUCCGAGUUCCCUGGAACGGGACGCCAUAGAGGGUGAGAGCCCCGUCCGGUCGUGCGCCUAGCCUCUGUAAAGCUCCUUCGACGAGUCGAGUAGUUUGGGAAUGCUGCUCUAAAUGGGAGGUAUACGUCUUCUAAAGCUAAAUACCGGCCAGAGACCGAUAGCGCACAAGUAGAGUGAUCGAAAGAUGAAAAGCACUUUGAAAAGAGGGUUAAAUAGUACGUGAAAUUGCUGAAAGGGAAGCGCUUAUGACCAGACUUGGGCGCGGCGGAAUCAUCCGGCGUUCUCGCCGGUGCACUCCACCGCCCCAGGCCAGCAUCAGUUCGCGCCGGGGGACAAAGGCUUCGGGAAUGUGGCUCCCUCGGGAGUGUUAUAGCCCGUUGCGUAAUACCCUGGUGCGGACUGAGGUCCGCGCUC
RNAcentral lists this small RNA (564 nucleotides) under Emericellopsis sp. R5. RNAcentral describes it as "eukaryotic LSU rRNA". It matches the Rfam family "Eukaryotic large subunit ribosomal RNA", at positions 26 to 600 of the family's 3401-position model. Lineage: Eukaryota; Fungi; Ascomycota; Sordariomycetes; Hypocreales; Bionectriaceae. The record is from RNAcentral.